This 314-nucleotide small RNA is filed under the name Arabidopsis thaliana (thale cress). RNAcentral's name for it is "ATSL143930". Lineage: Eukaryota; Viridiplantae; Streptophyta; Magnoliopsida; Brassicales; Brassicaceae. The record is from RNAcentral.
AUAAGUUCUUCUAAAUCAACUUGAUUAACACCAAAGUUAAAAUUAUGAAUGAUAAUUGGUAGUAGUACGGAGAUCAUGAAUUGUGAUAUAGACCACAUCCAAAACCGCAUCGCAACAGUGGUGUAACACUACCAAAAUCUCUACAUAUACAUAUGUAUCUACGUAUUUUUGUUACUAUUUGAACCGUACUGCACUUUAUUUCUUACACCGCAAAACGCAGUCACCAUUCGGACCCUGAAUUUGUCAACAAUAUCAGACUAAAAAAUCUAGAAACUUUGCAUACAAUGCAAGCACGUAAUACAUGACUAUAAUCG